This 1209-nucleotide long non-coding RNA is filed under the name Vulpes vulpes (red fox). RNAcentral describes it as "lncRNA (ENSVVUG00000013743.1)". The record is from RNAcentral. Lineage: Eukaryota; Metazoa; Chordata; Mammalia; Carnivora; Canidae.
ACCUCUUUCAUAUCCCUGAGUCCCUGCGAUGCUGUGACCUUACCUCCUCCUUUCAACCUGUCUUCAGGAUUAGGAUCAAUACCUGCUGCUUGGCUUUUAUUCAAGUGAUGGAUAGCUUUGGAAACUCUUAUCUGGGCUGGUUUGCUGUCUCCAUCUGAUACUUCAAACUGACCUUCAGCCUAGGAGUCUUAAAAAAAAUGUCCAUGUUUUAAGGAAAGAUGGAUGAUCCUCUCUGUUUUAAACAAGAAGGAAAAUCUUUUGAUCAGAAUGGAAGCAAUGGAGGAAUUUGGUUCUGUUUUGUUUCAAGAAGUCUUUAAAAACCUGUGAAUAGGUUAUCCUUCUUUCCUUUAAUUAUGUUUGUGUCCCAAAUUCAGUAAAGAACUGGCUAGGAGAAGAGAAGGUCAGUAGCAGUAGCAUCCCAGGUCUCAAACUAGGGCUGUACACAGAACUUCUAAACAUCUUUUUUGAAAAUUUCUCACCAGAUUAUUUUCCGCUUGUUCUUCUAGGCUCAAGAAAUACAGAGACAUCAAGAAAUAGCUGAGAUUUCAUCUAGACACUCAAAUUAGACUCCCACAGUGAAAUUAAAACUUUCCUCAAGGUUGCUCAUCCUUAUAGAUCCUAGGGAGCUUUGUACUUGGGCUUUGAGCUCAAGCGGGAAAAGAUAUGCCACAGAUUUCAUCCAGAAAUGGUCUUUUUCACCCCAUCUCCAGCAGGGAUUAGACCUACGUCUGCUGUUGCUGUGCGGGCUGGUGGACAUGAGGUCAGUAGAGCCAGCAGUGAGAACAAGCCAAUGGUUGGGAAGUGGGGGCAGGUGAGGGCAGACAGGAGCCUGGGAAAAGGAGCUGGAAUCUGCUUCCCUUUCUCUCCGGAACCCACUUCAGCCUCUCAGCACCUUCAAGUGUCCAGUUCCAGCAGAGAACUGGCAUAUGUCACCAGGAAGCCCUCACGCACCUGCCCUGGACUCAGGGAGGCUCAAGGAAGAGGUUCUGUGGAGGCUGGAGGAGCUGUGGGUGGGGCAGAUGCCUCACACCCGAAGAUGAGCUAACAGACUGUCCCCCAACCCCCCAGCAAGCCUGAUCUUAUUACACUGGCAAACUUUAUGUUGUUCUCACUUUCUGCCUCAUUCAUGUAUUUAAGAAAUUGUUCUUGAAGGAAAAGCGAUAGUAGAGAUUGAAUAAAUAAAUGGAAAAGGUACUUGAGACUUACCCA